AUUGAACGCUGGCGGCAGGCUUAACACAUGCAAGUCGAGCGGGGGAAGGUAGCUUGCUACCGGACCUAGCGGCGGACGGGUGAGUAAUGCUUAGGAAUCUGCCUAUUAGUGGGGGACAACAUCUCGAAAGGGAUGCUAAUACCGCAUACGUCCUACGGGAGAAAGCAGGGGAUCUUCGGACCUUGCGCUAAUAGAUGAGCCUAAGUCGGAUUAGCUAGUUGGUGGGGUAAAGGCCUACCAAGGCGACGAUCUGUAGCGGGUCUGAGAGGAUGAUCCGCAACACUGGGACUGAAACACGGCCCAGACUCCUACGGGAGGCAGCAGUGGGGAAUAUUGGACAAUGGGGGGAACCCUGAUCCAGCCAUGCCGCGUGUGUGAAGAAGGCCUUAUGGUUGUAAAGCACUUUAAGCGAGGAGGAGGCUACUUUAGUUAAUACCUAGAGAUAGUGGACGUUACUCGCAGAAUAAGCACCGGCUAACUCUGUGCCAGCAGCCGCCGUAA
This 501-nucleotide ribosomal RNA is filed under the name uncultured bacterium. RNAcentral's name for it is "partial 16S ribosomal RNA". It matches the Rfam family "Bacterial small subunit ribosomal RNA", at positions 30 to 523 of the family's 1533-position model. The record is from RNAcentral.